Molecule: unclassified non-coding RNA, 427 nt
Filed under: Hevea brasiliensis (rubber tree)
Lineage: Eukaryota; Viridiplantae; Streptophyta; Magnoliopsida; Malpighiales; Euphorbiaceae
Source: RNAcentral
UGUAUAUCCAAUAUCCCUUUCACUAACAUUCUCCAAAAGCAAAAGAAAAUGAAUCAUCGCUUUGGCUUGAUGAGCUGCCUUCUUGUCAUUACAUUUCUCAUUUUCUUAGUUCCCAGGUGUACUCAAGCAACUGGGAGGAGCUUCUCUUCUACACCUUACGCCACCAGAACCCACCAACCUUUUCACUCCCAGCUCCCGCCUGUUAACGUUCGCUUCAAAGGUCAAGAUCACGAGUUCGAAUUCCAGAAACGCAGAGUUCCUACAGGAUCAAACCCGUUGCACAACAAGAAGAGAUUAUGAAGAUUUUAUAUGCAAACUAGCUAAAGCAUAGAUUAUUUAGAAGCACUUGUAUAUUUAUACACCUCUAGAUAAUAUUUUGCUAGAGUUCUGUUUAAUUAAUUUUGUAGAGAUAUGGUACGUAUAGAAG